AAGUCGUAACAAGGUUUCCGUAGGUGAACCUGCGGAAGGAUCAUUAAUGAGUUUUGAACGGGUUGUUGCUGACCUCUAGCGAGGUAUGUGCACGCCUGGCUCAUCCACUCUUCUUACCUCUGUGCACUUUUUGUAGGGAAGUUGAUGAAAGGCUUAAUUGCUGGAAGUCUUCUUUCUUAUGUUUUUACAAACACUAUACAGUCAAAGAAUGUCUUAUUACUUGCGGAUAACGCAUUAUAAUACAACUUUCAGCAACGGAUCUCUUGGCUCUC
RNAcentral lists this unclassified non-coding RNA (272 nucleotides) under fungal sp. RNAcentral's name for it is "partial internal transcribed spacer region". The stretch from base 1 to 46 matches the Rfam family "Eukaryotic small subunit ribosomal RNA", at positions 1786 to 1831 of the family's 1831-position model. Lineage: Eukaryota; Fungi. The record is from RNAcentral.